This is a non-coding RNA of Meleagris gallopavo (turkey), 943 nucleotides long. The record is from RefSeq and is a predicted model, not a curated record. Lineage: Eukaryota; Metazoa; Chordata; Aves; Galliformes; Phasianidae.
UUGGGGGGGAUGGGGGGGCAGUUUGGAGGACCUCCAACGUUGGUCCUCCAACUGAGGUCCUCCAACGAUGGUCCUCCAACAUUGGUCCUCCAAUGGAGGUCCUCCAACGGAGGUCCUCCAAUCGGAGUCCUCCAAAGUGGGUCCUCCAAUGUUGGUCCUCCAAAGGAAGUCCUCCAACGCAAGUCCUCCAAUGGAAAUCCCCCAGUGGAAGUUCUCCAGCAGAGUUUUGGUGUUCCUUGCAGCUGCUGAUGGAAACCCUAAAUGCCACUACCCCCCAUUAUGUGCGCUGCAUUAAACCCAACAAGGACUGGGAACCCUCCAGGUUAGACCCCAAAAGGGCCGUGGAACAACUGAGGGCUUGUGGGGUUUUGGAGACGGUCCAGAUCAGCGCUGCGGGGUUUCCUUCCAGAUGUUCCUAUCAGGAUUUCCUGAAUCGUUAUCGAGUCUUAAUUAAGAAGUGAGAAGCAAUUAAGAAGGACCCCAAAUUAAUCUGUCAGGACCUGGUGGAGGACCUCAUUAAGGACCCGGAGCACUUCCGGUUAGGCCGCACCAAACUCUUCUUCCGGUCCUCCCAAGCCGCCUAUUUAGAAAAGCUGCGGGUGGAGCUGCUCCUGGCGGCCACCAUUUUGAUUCAGGCGACGUACAAGGGUUUGCUUCAACGCCGUCACUUCUGGCGGAAGAGCCUGGUGGCCGCCAUUUUGCAACAUUACAUCCGGGGAUUUUUGGUGUGCAGACGCUACCAGAAGCUCUGCACAGCUGCCAUUAAGAUCCAGGCCUUCGUUGGGGCACCUUAAUUAGGAGGAAUUACCACCAGGUGAGCCUUAACGAGCUCCUUCGUUAAUGAGCAAUGCAGAGCCCCAGAGGAAACCAUGGAGACCCCAUAAAACCCCAUAAAAACCCCAUAAAGACCCCAUAGGAUCCCAUAAGGCCCCGAUAAAGCCCC